CCUACGGGAGGCUGCAGUCGAGAAUCAUUCACAAUGGGGGAAACCCUGAUGGUGCGACGCCGCGUGGGGGAAUGAAGGUCUUCGGAUUGUAAACCCCUGUCAUGUGGGAGCAAAUUAAAAAGAUCGUACCACAAGAGGAAGAGACGGCUAACUCUGUGCCAGCAGCCGCGGUAAUACAGAGGUCUCAAGCGUUGUUCGGAAUCACUGGGCGUAAAGCGUGCGUAGGCUGUUUCGUAAGUCGUGUGUGAAAGGCGCGGGCUCAACCCGCGGACGGCACAUGAUACUGCGAGACUAGAGUAAGGGAGGGGGAACCGGAAGUCUCGGUGUAGCAGUGAAAUGCGUAGAUAUCGAGAGGAACACUCGUGGCGAAGGCGGGUUCCUGGACAUUAACUGACGCUGAGGCACGAAGGCCAGGGGAGCGAAAGGGAUUAGAUACCCUUGUAGUC
RNAcentral lists this ribosomal RNA (446 nucleotides) under uncultured bacterium. RNAcentral's name for it is "partial 16S ribosomal RNA". It matches the Rfam family "Bacterial small subunit ribosomal RNA", at positions 338 to 795 of the family's 1533-position model. The record is from RNAcentral.